AGCAGGAAAGCAGGGGAUCGCAAGACCUUGCGCUGAUUGAGCGGCCGAUAUCAGAUUAGCUAGUUGGUGAGGUAAGAGCUCACCAAGGCGACGAUCUGUAGCGGGUCUGAGAGGAUGAUCCGCCACACUGGAACUGAGACACGGUCCAGACUCCUACGUGAGGCAGCAGUGGGGAAUUUUGGACAAUGGGGGCAACCCUGAUCCAGCCAUGCCGCGUGAGUGAAGAAGGCCUUCGGGUUGUAAAGCUCUUUCAGCCGGGAAGAAAAUGCAUGGGUUAAUACCCUGUGCAGAUGACGGUACCGGAAUAAGAAGCACCGGCUAACUACGUGCCAGCAGCCGCGGUAAUACGUAGGGUGCGAGCGUUAAUCGGAAUUACUGGGCGUAAAGCGUGCGCAGGCGGUUUUGUAAGACAGGCGUGAAAUCCCCGGGCUUAACCUGGGAACUGCGUUUGUGACUGCAAGGCUAGAGUACGGCAGAGGGGGGUGGAAUUCCACGUGUAGCAGUGAAAUGCGUAGAGAUGUGGAGGAACACCAAUGGCGAAGGCAGCCCCCUGGGUCGAUACUGACGCUCAUGCACGAAAGCGUGGGUAGCAAACAGGAUUAGAUACCCUGGUAGUCCACGCCCUAAACGAUGUCAACUAGGUGUUGGGAGGGUAAAACCUUUUAGUACCGUAGCUAACGCGAGAAGUUGACCGCCUGGGGAGUACGGCCGCAAGGUUAAAACUCAAAGGAAUUGACGGGGACCCGCACAAGCGGUGGAUGAUGUGGAUUAAUUCGAUGCAACGCGAAAAACCUUACCUACCCUUGACAUGUCAGGAACUUGCCAGAGAUGGCUUGGUGCCCGAAAGGGAACCUGAACACAGGUGCUGCAUGGCUGUCGUCAGCUCGUGUCGUGAGAUGUUGGGUUAAGUCCCGCAACGAGCGCAACCCUUGUCGUUAAUUGCCAUCAUUCAGUUGGGCACUUUAACGAGACUGCCGGUGACAAACCGGAGGAAGGUGGGGAUGACGUCAAGUCCUCAUGGCCCUUAUGGGUAGGGCUUCACACGUCAUACAAUGGUCGGUACAAAGGGUCGCCAACCCGCGAGGGGGAGCCAAUCCCAUAAAGCCGAUCGUAGUCCGGAUUGUAGGCUGCAACUCGCCUGCAUGAAGUCGGAAUCGCUAGUAAUCGUGGAUCAGCAUGUCACGGUGAAUACGUUCCCGGGUCUUGUACACACCGCCCGUCACACCAUGGGAGCGGGUUCCGCCAGAAGUAGGUAGCCUAACCGCAAGGGGGGCGCUUACCACGGCGGGGUUCGUGACUGGGGUGAAGUCGAAACAAGGUA
This 1321-nucleotide ribosomal RNA is filed under the name metagenome. RNAcentral's name for it is "bacterial SSU rRNA". It matches the Rfam family "Bacterial small subunit ribosomal RNA", at positions 197 to 1498 of the family's 1533-position model. The record is from RNAcentral.